This 484-nucleotide ribosomal RNA is filed under the name uncultured bacterium. RNAcentral's name for it is "partial 16S ribosomal RNA". It matches the Rfam family "Bacterial small subunit ribosomal RNA", at positions 29 to 523 of the family's 1533-position model. The record is from RNAcentral.
AGUGAACGCUGGCGGCGUGCUUAACACAUGCAAGUCGAACGAGAACGGGCUAUAGCUUGCUAUAGUCGUCAGCAAAGUGGCGCACGGGUGAGUAAUGUAUAGGUAAUAUGCCUCUUACUAAGGGAUAACAAAUGGAAACGUUUGCUAAUACCUUAUACUCCUUAUUAACAGAAGUUAAUAAGGGAAAGAUUUAUUGGUAAGAGAUUAGCCUGUAUUGUAUCAGUUAGUUGGUGGGGUAAUGGCCUACCAAGACUAUGACACAUAACUGGUUUGAGAGGAUGAUCAGUCACACUGGAACUGAGACACGGUCCAGACCCCUACGGGAGGCAGCAGUGGGGAAUAUUGCACAAUGGACGAAAGUCUGAUGCAGCAACGCUGCGUGGAGGACGACACAUUUCGGUGCGUAAACUCCUUUUAUAUGAGAAGAUAAUGACGGUAUUAUAUGAAUAAGCACCGGCUAACUCCGUGCCAGCAGCCGCCGUAA